Molecule: ribosomal RNA, 386 nt
Filed under: uncultured bacterium
Lineage: Bacteria
Description: bacterial SSU rRNA
Rfam family: Bacterial small subunit ribosomal RNA
Source: RNAcentral
AUUGAACGCUGGCGGCAUGCCUUACACAUGCAAGUCGAACGGCAGCACGGGGGCAACCCUGGUGGCGAGUGGCGGACGGGUGAGUAAUGCAUCGGAACGUGCCCUGAAGUGGGGGAUAACGCAGCGAAAGCUACGCUAAUACCGCAUAUUCUGUGAGCAGGAAAGCAGGGGAUCGCAAGACCUUGCGCUUUGGGAGCGGCCGAUGUCGGAUUAGCUAGUUGGUGGGGUAAAGGCCUACCAAGGCGACGAUCCGUAGCGGGUCUGAGAGGAUGAUCCGCCACACUGGGACUGAGACACGGCCCAGACUCCUACGGGAGGCAGCAGUGGGGAAUUUUGGACAAUGGGCGAAAGCCUGAUCCAGCCAUGCCGCGUGAGUGAAGAAGGCC